CUCUGCUUUCCAUGAGCACAGGCCUGUGCUUGCCUCAGCAGCACGUGCUCCCUGAGCCUCCCCUCCACCACCAGACAGUUCUGAGAUGCCUGUCUCACCCCCCUUCAGACCCCGAGACAGCCCCAGGAAGUAGAGCAAGACUUCACUUCUCAACAAGGAUGUCCCCAAGGUGCCAGGGACCCAGCAAUAAGAUCCAAGAGCCAGCCCCAGGGAGAAGUGCCAGACCUCUUCAAGGGCCACCUCUCUUAGUCUAUGUGUGAGAGAGAAUGUGUGUGUGUCAUCCAUAGAAUAAGGGAGAGGGUGAUGAGAUGCACAAACUCAAUGUGAGUAUGCCUUUGGCAUCAGAUUUAAGCCUCUAAACCCUCUCCACUAGAUGCUCCCAGCCAAAAAGGGACAGCAGGUCGGAGAAAUGAGAGAGGACACUCUCUCAUCCUUCUGCUACUCUCCCACUCUGGAAGGUUUCCCAGACUCCUGGAUCUCUUCGUCUCCCCUAUGUCUUCCUCUCUGCUACCACUAGGUGCUGCAUGCCCC
RNAcentral lists this long non-coding RNA (531 nucleotides) under Homo sapiens (human). Its description in RNAcentral is "HSALNT0189304". Lineage: Eukaryota; Metazoa; Chordata; Mammalia; Primates; Hominidae. The record is from RNAcentral.